AUUGAACGCUGGCGGCAUGCCUUACACAUGCAAGUCGAACGGCAGCACGGGAGCAAUCCUGGUGGCGAGUGGCGAACGGGUGAGUAAUGUAUCGGAACGUACCUUUCAGUGGGGGAUAACGUAGCGAAAGUUACGCUAAUACCGCAUACGAUCUACGGAUGAAAGCGGGGGACUCGCAAGAGCCUCGCGCGAAUGGAGCGGCCGAUAUCAGAUUAGCUAGUUGGUGAGGUAAAGGCUCACCAAGGCGACGAUCUGUAGCGGGUCUGAGAGGAUGAUCCGCCACACUGGAACUGAGACACGGUCCAGACACCUACGGGAGGCAG
RNAcentral lists this ribosomal RNA (323 nucleotides) under uncultured Pseudomonadota bacterium. RNAcentral's name for it is "bacterial SSU rRNA". It matches the Rfam family "Bacterial small subunit ribosomal RNA", at positions 30 to 351 of the family's 1533-position model. The record is from RNAcentral. Lineage: Bacteria; Pseudomonadati; Pseudomonadota.